CCGUAGCACAGGUUGGUUUCAGUGGUGAAGACGAGGCUCCUGCCCCGGUAGUUAGUAUGUUCGUAAAGGGUUAUCUGAGGGUUUGUCAGGUCCUCAGUCACUUUCUCCAGAGAAGAAAAGGCGUCGUUCCU
This is a long non-coding RNA of Astyanax mexicanus (Mexican tetra), 131 nucleotides long. RefSeq lists it as uncharacterized. The record is from RefSeq and is a predicted model, not a curated record. The transcript is spliced from 2 exons. Lineage: Eukaryota; Metazoa; Chordata; Actinopteri; Characiformes; Acestrorhamphidae.